AAUAAUGUGCCUGAUAAAAAGGGUUAACUUGAUAGGUUAAAUAAUAGAAUGAUUUUUAUUC
This 61-nucleotide transfer RNA is filed under the name Neoscona nautica (brown sailor spider). Its description in RNAcentral is "tRNA-Ile". Lineage: Eukaryota; Metazoa; Arthropoda; Arachnida; Araneae; Araneidae. The record is from RNAcentral.